Molecule: ribosomal RNA, 301 nt
Filed under: uncultured bacterium
Lineage: Bacteria
Description: partial 16S ribosomal RNA
Rfam family: Bacterial small subunit ribosomal RNA
Source: RNAcentral
CAGCAGCCGCGGGAAUACGUAGGUGGCAAGCGUUGUCCGGAAUUAUUGGGCGUAAAGGGCUCGCAGGCGGUUUCUUAAGUCUGAUGUGAAAGCCCCCGGCUCAACCGGGGAGGGUCAUUGGAAACUGGGAAACUUGAGUGCAGAAGAGGAGAGUGGAAUUCCACGUGUAGCGGUGAAAUGCGUAGAGAUGUGGAGGAACACCAGUGGCGAAGGCGACUCUCUGGUCUGUAACUGACGCUGAGGAGCGAAAGCAUGGGGAGCAAACAGGAUUAGAUACCCGCGUAGUCCCUGUCUCUUAUAA